Molecule: long non-coding RNA, 850 nt
Filed under: Homo sapiens (human)
Lineage: Eukaryota; Metazoa; Chordata; Mammalia; Primates; Hominidae
Description: non-protein coding LINC02476:12
Source: RNAcentral
CUCAUUUUCUCUUGCUGCUACCAUGGAAGAAGCGACUUUCGCCUCCCGCCGUGAUUCUGAGGCCUUUCCAGCCAUGUCAAACUCAAAAUGUGACUGAAAAACAGAAGCAUUUGGAAUACGUAACAGAAGUCAUUAAAAAGAGGAUCUUAUUCCUUUUGAUGUGCUGCUGGAUUCAGUUUGAAGGUAUUCUACUGACAGAGACAUAGACGAAUGGGACAGGAUAGAGAAGCCAGAAAUAAUGUUGCAACCUUACAGCCAUCUGAUCUUCAACAAAGUCAACAAAAAGAGACGAUGAAGAAAGGGCUGCUCCCUAUUCAAUAAAUGACACUGGGAAAACUGGCUAGUCAUACUCAGAAGAAUAAAAUUGGACCCCUUCCUUUCAUCAUAGACCAAAAUUAACUCAAGAUGGAUUAAAUAUAUUUAAAUGUAAGAACUCAAAACUAUAAGAAUCCUUGAAGAAAACCUAGGAAACAAUAUUCUGGACACCAGCCUUGGGAAAUAAUUUAUGACUAAAUUCUCAAAAAUUAGUUGCAACAAAAAAAUUGACAAGUGGAAAUAACUAAACUAACAAAUCUUCUGCACAGCAAAAGUAACUAUCAACAGAUUAAACAGACAACCUGCAGAAUGGGAGAAAAUAUUCACAAACUAAGCGUUUGAAAAACGUCUGAUAUUCAGAAUCUAUAACAAACUUAAACAAAUCAGCAAGCAAAGAACAACCCCACUAAAAAAUGGGCAAAAGACAUGAAAAGACAAUUCUCAAAAGAAGAAAUAGAAGUGGCCAGUGGACAUUGAAAAAUGCUCAACAUUACUAAUCAUCAGAGAAAUGCAAAUCAAAACCACAAUGAGAUAC